CCAGACUCCUACGGGAGGCAGCAGUGGGGAAUAUUGCACAAUGGGCGAAAGCCUGAUGCAGCAACGCCGCGUGAAGGAAGAAGGGUUUCGGCUCGUAAACUUCUAUCAACAGGGACGAAAGAAAUGACGGUACCUGAAUAAGAAGCCCCGGCUAAUUACGUGCCAGCAGCCGCGGGAAUACGUAAGGGGCAAGCGUUAUCCGGAUUUACUGGGUGUAAAGGGUGAGUAGGCGGCGAUGCAAGUCAUAUGUGAAAUUCCGGGGCUUAACUCCGGAGCUGCAUAAGAAACUGCGUUGCUUGAGUGCAGGAGAGGCAAGCGGAAUUCCUAGUGUAGCGGUGAAAUGCGUAGAUAUUAGGAAGAACACCGGUGGCGAAGGCGGCUUGCUGGACUGUAACUGACGCUGAGUCGCGAAAGCGUGGGGAGCGAACAGGAUUAGAUACCCCGGUAAA
This 449-nucleotide ribosomal RNA is filed under the name uncultured bacterium. RNAcentral describes it as "bacterial SSU rRNA". It matches the Rfam family "Bacterial small subunit ribosomal RNA", at positions 331 to 794 of the family's 1533-position model. The record is from RNAcentral.